RNAcentral lists this ribosomal RNA (253 nucleotides) under uncultured bacterium. Its description in RNAcentral is "partial 16S ribosomal RNA". It matches the Rfam family "Bacterial small subunit ribosomal RNA", at positions 524 to 776 of the family's 1533-position model. The record is from RNAcentral.
UACAGGGGGUGCAAACGUUGCUCGGAAUUACUGGGCGUAAAGGGCGCGUAGGCGGCACUGUUAGUCAGGCGUGAAAUUCCUGGGCUCAACCUGGGGACUGCGCUUGAUACGGCAGAGCUAGAGGAUGGAAGAGGCUCGCGGAAUUCCCAGUGUAGAGGUGAAAUUCGUAGAUAUUGGGAAGAACACCGGUGGCGAAGGCGGCGAGCUGGUCCAUUACUGACGCUGAGGCGCGACAGCGUGGGGAGCAAACAGG